AUGGAGGGAGUAUUUUUUUUUCAGUAUUUUUAUUUUAAUUUUUUAAUAAUUCAUUUAUUUCUCCAUAUAUUUUUAUUUUUUUUCAAGAAUUAUGUUUUUCAGUAUUUUAUUUAAAUUUCUUUUUCAGGCAUUAUUUCUUUGUUUUUUCAUAUUUCUUUAGAAAUAAAGUUAGCAGAAACGGUUUCUUACCAAACAACAUCAUUUAGAUCGUUUAAUUCCUUGAUGGC
This 227-nucleotide long non-coding RNA is filed under the name Salvia miltiorrhiza (redroot sage). RNAcentral's name for it is "long non-coding RNA (SMIL_LNC014105)". The record is from RNAcentral. Lineage: Eukaryota; Viridiplantae; Streptophyta; Magnoliopsida; Lamiales; Lamiaceae.